RNAcentral lists this ribosomal RNA (500 nucleotides) under uncultured bacterium. Its description in RNAcentral is "partial 16S ribosomal RNA". It matches the Rfam family "Bacterial small subunit ribosomal RNA", at positions 30 to 523 of the family's 1533-position model. The record is from RNAcentral.
AUUGAACGCUGGCGGCAGGCUUAACACAUGCAAGUCGAGCGGGGGAAGGUAGCUUGCUACCGGACCUAGCGGCGGACGGGUGAGUAAUGCUUAGGAAUCUGCCUAUUAGUGGGGGACAACAUCUCGAAAGGGAUGCUAAUACCGCAUACGUCCUACGGGAGAAAGCAGGGGAUCUUCGGACCUUGCUCUAAUAGAUGAGCAUAAGUCCGAUUAGCUAGUAGGUGGGGUAAAGGCCUACCAAGGCGACGAUCUGUAGCGGGUCUGAGAGGAUGAUCCGCCACACUGGACUGAGACACGGCCCAGACUCCUACGGGAGGCAGCAGUGGGGAAUAUUGGACAAUGGGGGGAACCCUGAUCCAGCCAUGCCGCGUGUGUGAAGAAGGCCUUAUGGUUGUAAAGCACUUUAAGCGAGGAGGAGGCUACUUUAGCUAAUACCUAGAGAUAGUGGACGUUACUCGCAGAAUAAGCACCGGCUAACUCUGUGCCAGCAGCCGCGGUAA